This 465-nucleotide ribosomal RNA is filed under the name Vreelandella stevensii. Its description in RNAcentral is "partial 16S ribosomal RNA". It matches the Rfam family "Bacterial small subunit ribosomal RNA", at positions 338 to 795 of the family's 1533-position model. The record is from RNAcentral. Lineage: Bacteria; Pseudomonadati; Pseudomonadota; Gammaproteobacteria; Oceanospirillales; Halomonadaceae.
CCUACGUGUCGCAGCAGUGGGGAAUAUUGGACAAUGGGCGAAAGCCUGAUCCAGCCAUGCCGCGUGUGUGAAGAAGGCCUUCGGGUUGUAAAGCACUUUCAGUGGGGAAGAAAGCCUUGGGGCUAAUACCCUCGAGGAAGGACAUCACCCACAGAAAAAGCACCGGCUAACUCCGUGCCAGCAGCCGCGGUAAUACGGAGGGUGCGAGCGUUAAUCGGAAUUACUGGGCGUAAAGCGCGCGUAGGCGGUCUGAUAAGCCGGUUGUGAAAGCCCCGGGCUCAACCUGGGAACGGCAUCCGGAACUGUCAGGCUAGAGUGCAGGAGAGGAAGGUAGAAUUCCCGGUGUAGCGGUGAAAUGCGUAGAGAUCGGGAGGAAUACCAGUGGCGAAGGCGGCCUUCUGGACUGACACUGACGCUGAGGUGCGAAAGCGUGGGUAGCAAACAGGAUUAGAUACCCCAGUAGUC